UCAAAUCAUCAUGCCCCUUAUGACCUGGGCUACAAACGUGAUACAAUGGCUGGAACAAAGGGAGGCGAAGGGGUGACCUGGAGCGAAACCCAAAAAUACAGUCUCAGUUCGGAUUGAAGUCUGCAACUCGACCUCAUGAAGUCGGAAUCGCUAGUAAUCGCGGAUCAGAACGCCGCGGUGAAUACGUUCUCGGGGUUU
Molecule: ribosomal RNA, 198 nt
Filed under: uncultured Acholeplasma sp.
Lineage: Bacteria; Bacillati; Mycoplasmatota; Mollicutes; Acholeplasmatales; Acholeplasmataceae
Description: partial 16S ribosomal RNA
Rfam family: Bacterial small subunit ribosomal RNA
Source: RNAcentral